This 292-nucleotide ribosomal RNA is filed under the name uncultured Fluviicola sp. RNAcentral's name for it is "partial 16S ribosomal RNA". It matches the Rfam family "Bacterial small subunit ribosomal RNA", at positions 505 to 796 of the family's 1533-position model. Lineage: Bacteria; Pseudomonadati; Bacteroidota; Flavobacteriia; Flavobacteriales; Crocinitomicaceae. The record is from RNAcentral.
GUGUCAGCAGCCGCGGUAAUACGGAGGGUGCAAGCGUUAUCCGGAAUCAUUGGGUUUAAAGGGUCCGCAGGCGGAUUUAUAAUUCAGUGGUGAAAGCCUACAGCUUAACUGUAGAACUGCCAUUGAUACUGUAAGUCUUGAAUUCGGUCGAAGUGGGCGGAAUGUGUAGUGUAGCGGUGAAAUGCAUAGAUAUUACACAGAACACCGAUAGCGAAGGCAGCUCACUAGGCCUGGAUUGACGCUCAGGGACGAAAGCGUGGGGAUCAAACAGGAUUAGAAACCCUUGUAGUCC